RNAcentral lists this ribosomal RNA (1372 nucleotides) under uncultured bacterium. RNAcentral's name for it is "bacterial SSU rRNA". It matches the Rfam family "Bacterial small subunit ribosomal RNA", at positions 28 to 1381 of the family's 1533-position model. The record is from RNAcentral.
GAUGAACGCUGGCGGCGUGCCUAAUACAUGCAAGUCGAGCGAACGGACGAGAAGCUUGCUUCUCUGAUGUUAGCGGCGGACGGGUGAGUAACACGUGGAUAACCUACCUAUAAGACUGGGAUAACUUCGGGAAACCGGAGCUAAUACCGGAUAAUAUUUUGAACCGCAUGGUUCAAAAGUGAAAGACGGUCUUGCUGUCACUUAUAGAUGGAUCCGCGCUGCAUUAGCUAGUUGGUAAGGUAACGGCUUACCAAGGCAACGAUGCAUAGCCGACCUGAGAGGGUGAUCGGCCACACUGGAACUGAGACACGGUCCAGACUCCUACGGGAGGCAGCAGUAGGGAAUCUUCCGCAAUGGGCGAAAGCCUGACGGAGCAACGCCGCGUGAGUGAUGAAGGUCUUCGGAUCGUAAAACUCUGUUAUUAGGGAAGAACAUAUGUGUAAGUAACUGUGCACAUCUUGACGGUACCUAAUCAGAAAGCCACGGCUAACUACGUGCCAGCAGCCGCGGUAAUACGUAGGUGGCAAGCGUUAUCCGGAAUUGUUGGGCGUAAAGCGCGCGUAGGCGGUUUUUUAAGUCUGAUGUGAAAGCCCACGGCUCAACCGUGGAGGGUCAUUGGAAACUGGAAAACUUGAGUGCAGAAGAGGAAAGUGGAAUUCCAUGUGUAGCGGUGAAAUGCGCAGAGAUAUGGAGGAACACCAGUGGCGAAGGCGACUUUCUGGUCUGUAACUGACGCUGAUGUGCGAAAGCGUGGGGAUCAAACAGGAUUAGAUACCCUGGUAGUCCACGCCGUAAACGAUGAGUGCUAAGUGUUAGGGGGUUUCCGCCCCUUAGUGCUGCAGCUAACGCAUUAAGCACUCCGCCUGGGGAGUACGACCGCAAGGUUGAAACUCAAAGGAAUUGACGGGGACCCGCACAAGCGGUGGAGCAUGUGGUUUAAUUCGAAGCAACGCGAAGAACCUUACCAAAUCUUGACAUCCUUUGACAACUCUAGAGAUAGAGCUUUCCCCUUCGGGGGACAAAGUGACAGGUGGUGCAUGGUUGUCGUCAGCUCGUGUCGUGAGAUGUUGGGUUAAGUCCCGCAACGAGCGCAACCCUUAAGCUUAGUUGCCAUCAUUAAGUUGGGCACUCUAAGUUGACUGCCGGUGACAAACCGGAGGAAGGUGGGGAUGACGUCAAAUCAUCAUGCCCCUUAUGAUUUGGGCUACACACGUGCUACAAUGGACAAUACAAAGGGCAGCGAAACCGCGAGGUCAAGCAAAUCCCAUAAAGUUGUUCUCAGUUCGGAUUGUAGUCUGCAACUCGACUACAUGAAGCUGGAAUCGCUAGUAAUCGUAGAUCAGCAUGCUACGGUGAAUACGUUCCCGGGUCU